This 468-nucleotide ribosomal RNA is filed under the name uncultured bacterium. Its description in RNAcentral is "partial 16S ribosomal RNA". It matches the Rfam family "Bacterial small subunit ribosomal RNA", at positions 28 to 507 of the family's 1533-position model. The record is from RNAcentral.
GACGAACGCUGGCGGCGUGCUUAACACAUGCAAGUCGAACGGAAAGGCCCUGCUUUUGUGGGGUGCUCGAGUGGCGAACGGGUGAGUAACACGUGAGUAACCUGCCCUUGACUUUGGGAUAACUUCAGGAAACUGGGGCUAAUACCGGAUAGGAGCUCCUGCUGCAUGGUGGGGGUUGGAAAGUUUCGGCGGUUGGGGAUGGACUCGCGGCUGAUCAGCUUGUUGGUGGGGUAGUGGCUUACCAAGGCUUUGACGGGUAGCCGGCCUGAGAGGGUGACCGGCGACAAUAGGACUGAGAUACGGCCCAGACUCCUACGGGAGGCAGCAGUGGGGAAUAUUGCACAAUGGGCGGAAGCCUGAUGCAGCAACGCCGCGUGCGGGAUGACGGCCUUCGGGUUGUAAACCGCUUUCGCCUGUGACGAAGCGUGAGUGACGGUAAUGGGUAAAGAAGCACCGGCUAACUACGUG